UGAUAAUGAACAGGAUGAUGAUGAUGAUGAUGAUGAUGGUAAUUGCUACUAUCAACAUCGUCAUCAUCACCGUCACUCUUUUUCU
RNAcentral lists this microRNA precursor (85 nucleotides) under Bigelowiella natans CCMP2755. Its description in RNAcentral is "miRNA EPrBNAG00000013417". Lineage: Eukaryota; Cercozoa; Chlorarachniophyceae. The record is from RNAcentral.